Phyllostomus hastatus (greater spear-nosed bat) is the source of this 1367-nucleotide long non-coding RNA. RefSeq lists it as uncharacterized. NCBI's taxonomy places the organism in Eukaryota, Metazoa, Chordata, Mammalia, Chiroptera, Phyllostomidae. The record is from RefSeq and is a predicted model, not a curated record. The transcript is spliced from 3 exons.
CCCCCUCCCCGCCCGGCCCUGGAGGAGGGCGGACCGAGGCACCUCCCCCGAGUGCGGGUUGCUCGCCAGUGCCCGCAGACCGGCUCUUGCGCCCCGCCCGCGGCCGCCUCCCGGCCUCGCCGGCUCACCCUAGCUUGACUCUCCUCUCGGGCAGCGGAGAGGGGGCGAGGAGGAGGAGCCGUGGAGCAGGGAGGGGAGAAAGGUGAAUCCUUGUGUCUGCACCUGGAUGGCAUUCAGGCAGACUUUGAGUCCUUAUUGAGAUCGCCCAGCCCGUGAGUGACAUCAGGAAUGAAACUUGAACAGAAAGUGUUGCGCACUUCUCACCGCACCAAGCUCUGGCCCAUGGAAGGCCUGAGGCCAAAAGAGAGACUUAUUUCAUGGGCCGCUUGGUCUCCUGCCUCAGAGUCCCUAGCUCACACUUGGAACCCCCCACGGAGACGCUGUUGGCUGGAGUGCUCCCUGGCGCGAGGCUGGAGCUGAGUGCUCGGGAGCACAGAAGGGAAAAGAACUCCUACAGUUCGACGACAACAAGAACAAACAAACAUUUAAAAGUGGGCAAAGGACCUGCAUAGACAUUUCACACACAGAAAAAUCCAUCGAUAAGUGCGGGGAAAGGUGCUCAACAUCACUAAUCAUCAGGGAAAUGCAGAUCAAAACCACAACGAAAUACCACUUCAUACCCAUUGGGAUGGCUAUUAUCAAAGAAUCCAGAACAUAACCAGUAUUGGUGAGGAUGUGGAGAAAUGGAGUCCCUCUGCAUUGCUUGCUGAUGAGAUUGUGAAAGGGUGCGGCCGCUCAAGCAAUGGUAUGGCCAUUCCUCAGAAAAUUAAACAGGGUCUCCAUGUGAUCCAGCAAUUCUGCAUUUAAGUAUAUAUCCCAAAGAAUUGAAAGCAGGGACUCAAACAGAUAUCGUUGUACUUGCGUGUUCCUGGCAGCGUUCAUUAUUCACGGCAGCCAAAAGGUGGAACCAACCCAAUGGAUGGUUCAAUGGGCAGAUGAACAAAAUGUGACAGAUUCGUUCAAGAGAGUGCUAUUCAGCCUUAUAGAGGAACAUGUUACACCGUGGAUGAGCCUUGAAACCCCUAUGUUAAGUGAAAUCAGCCAGUCACAGAGGACAAAUAUUGAAUGUUCCACUUUUAUGAGGUACCUAGAAUAGCCAAACUUGUAAAGACAUGAGUAGAGUGGUGGUUGCUGUGGUGGGGGGCCGGGGGUGGUGAGGAGUUAGUGUUUAAUGGGGACAGAGUGUCAUUUUGGGAAGAUACAAAGUUCUGGAGGUGGGUGGCGGUGGUCGCACAGUAACGUGAAUGCACUUAAUGCCACUGAACAGUACUUAGCAGUUAAAAUGGUGCAAAUUUAUGUCAUGUAUA